Molecule: ribosomal RNA, 253 nt
Filed under: uncultured bacterium
Lineage: Bacteria
Description: partial 16S ribosomal RNA
Rfam family: Bacterial small subunit ribosomal RNA
Source: RNAcentral
UACGUAGGGGGCAAACGUUAUCCGGAAUUACUGGGUGUAAAGGGAGCGUAGACGGUAAUGUAAGUCUGGAGUGAAAGGCGGGGGCCCAACCCCCGGACUGCUCUGGAAACUAUGUUACUAGAGUGCAGGAGAGGUAAGCGGAAUUCCUAGUGUAGCGGUGAAAUGCGUAGAUAUUAGGAGGAACACCAGUGGCGAAGGCGGCUUACUGGACUGUAACUGACGUUGAGGCUCGAAAGCGUGGGGAGCAAACAGG